CCUACGGGGAGCAGCAGUGAGGGAUAUUGCACAAUGGGGGAAACCCUGAUGCAGCGACGCCGCGUGAGUGAAGAAGUAUUUCGGUAUUUAAAGCUCUAUCAGCAGGGAAAAAAAUGACAGUACCUGACCAAGAAGCCCCGGCUAACUACGUGCCAGCAGCCGCGGUACUACGUAGGUGGCAAGCGUUAUCCGGAUUUACUGGGUGUAAAGGGAGCGUAGACGGUUAUGUCAGUCUGGAGUGAAAGCCCGGGGCCAAACCCCGGGACUGCUUUGGAAACUGUGUAACUGGAGUACAGGAGGGGCAGGCGGAAUGCCUGGUGUAGCGGUGAAAUGCGUAGAUAUCAGGAGGAACACCGGCGCGCAACUGACGCUCAUGCACGAAAGCGUGGGUAUCGAACAGGAUUAGAUACCCUAGUAGUC
This 420-nucleotide ribosomal RNA is filed under the name uncultured bacterium. RNAcentral's name for it is "partial 16S ribosomal RNA". It matches the Rfam family "Bacterial small subunit ribosomal RNA", at positions 338 to 795 of the family's 1533-position model. The record is from RNAcentral.